GCAAACUUGGUCAUUUAGAGGAAGUAAAAGUCGUAACAAGGUUUCCGUAGGUGAACCUGCGGAAGGAUCAUUAUCGAGUGCACCCCCCGUUAAAAAGGGGGUACCUCCCGUCCUUUGCUGGCCCUUAAAGGGCUUUUUAAACUUCUGCUUCGGUGGGGUUACCCGCCGGAACACCCUCAAAACUCUUUGACAAAAAAACCGUUCCGUCCGAGAGCUUUUAUGAAUUAGCGAAAAACUUUCAACAACGGAUCUCUUGGUUCUGGCAUCGAUGAAGAACGCAGC
Molecule: unclassified non-coding RNA, 282 nt
Filed under: uncultured fungus
Lineage: Eukaryota; Fungi
Description: partial contains small subunit ribosomal RNA, internal transcribed spacer 1, and 5.8S ribosomal RNA
Rfam family: Eukaryotic small subunit ribosomal RNA (bases 1-73)
Source: RNAcentral